This 491-nucleotide ribosomal RNA is filed under the name uncultured bacterium. Its description in RNAcentral is "partial 16S ribosomal RNA". It matches the Rfam family "Bacterial small subunit ribosomal RNA", at positions 28 to 507 of the family's 1533-position model. The record is from RNAcentral.
GAUGAACGCUGGCUACAGGCUUAACACAUGCAAGUCGAGGGGAAACGACGGGGAAGCUUGCUUCCCCGGGCGUCGACCGGCGCACGGGUGAGUAACGCGUAUCCAACCUGCCUCUGACUGAGGGAUAACCCGUCGAAAGUCGGCCUAAUACCUCAUGGCAUCGUCUGCGGGCAUCCAACGACGAUUAAAGAUUUCAUCGGUCAGGGAUGGGGAUGCGUCUGAUUAGCUAGUUGGCGGGGUAACGGCCCACCAAGGCGACGAUCAGUAGGGGUUCUGAGAGGAAGGUCCCCCACAUUGGAACUGAGACACGGUCCAAACUCCUACGGGAGGCAGCAGUGAGGAAUAUUGGUCAAUGGGCGAGAGCCUGAACCAGCCAAGUAGCGUGCAGGAUGACGGCCCUAUGGGUGGUAAACUGCUUUUAUGCGGGGAUAAAGUGAGGGACGUGUCCUUCAUUGCAGGUACCGCAUGAAUAAGGACCGGCUAAUUCCGUG